UACGGGGGGAGCAAGCGUUGUUCGGAUUUACUGGGCGUAAAGGGCGCGUAGGCGGUCAGCACAAGUCAGUUGUGAAAUCUCCGGGCUUAACUCGGAAAGGUCAACUGAUACUGUGCGACUAGAGUGCGGAAGGGGCAACUGGAAUUCUCGGUGUAGCGGUGAAAUGCGUAGAUAUCGAGAGGAACACCUGCGGCGAAGGCGGGUUGCUGGGCCGACACUGACGCUGAGGCGCGAAAGCCAGGGGAGCGAACGGG
RNAcentral lists this ribosomal RNA (254 nucleotides) under uncultured bacterium. Its description in RNAcentral is "partial 16S ribosomal RNA". It matches the Rfam family "Bacterial small subunit ribosomal RNA", at positions 524 to 776 of the family's 1533-position model. The record is from RNAcentral.